AGUGAAUUGGACCUCCAAGUGGGCCAUUUUUGGUUAGCAGGACUGGCGAUGCGGGAUGAACCGAAAGUGCUGUU
This 74-nucleotide ribosomal RNA is filed under the name Cryptomonas curvata. RNAcentral describes it as "partial Eukaryotic large subunit ribosomal RNA". It matches the Rfam family "Eukaryotic large subunit ribosomal RNA", at positions 1107 to 1181 of the family's 3401-position model. The record is from RNAcentral. Lineage: Eukaryota; Cryptophyceae; Cryptomonadales; Cryptomonadaceae.